UUUUUUUUUUGUGGUUUUGUCAAUGCAAGGGAAGAGAUUUCUAAUUGAAUCGAAUCCUUACUCACAAAAGUUUCUUGAAAUUGGUUAAUACGGAUAGAUUUCGGUUUUGGCAAUGCCACCACCUUCUUCACCGCUAUCAGCCACCACCGGAACCCUAGAAUCAAUCUCAUAAAUCAGCCACUGUCGGAACUCUGGGUGACACUUGAUUUUAUGGGAUUUCCAAAGUAUUAACCAGGUGCUUGGAAGGAUGGUUCAUCCCGUCGAAUUCUUCAUUGAUUGGUAUAUGGUGGCCAACCGAUUGAAACCAAAAUGUUUAAGGAAGGAUUUGGUUAUCCUUGGUUCUGAUGCAAGAAUGUAGGUUAUACUUGACUCUAUAACUGAUUAUGCAUGCGAAGGGACAAAACAAAGAGAUGUUGUAUACUUUUAGCGCAACUUAUAAUUUUACCAAGUCUAUAUUUAUGACGAAGAGUGUGAUAUAAUAUGAGUAAAUAAUAUAGUUUUUUUUGUAUAUUUUACAUUGUUUCCUUAGAAGACAUCCUGU
Non-coding RNA from Lactuca sativa (garden lettuce), 541 nucleotides. The record is from RefSeq and is a predicted model, not a curated record. Lineage: Eukaryota; Viridiplantae; Streptophyta; Magnoliopsida; Asterales; Asteraceae.